GAAAUGCGAUACUUGGUGUGAAUUGCAGAAUUCAGUGAAUCAUCGAAUCUUUGAACGCACAUUGCGCCCUUUGGUAUUCCAAAGGGCAUGCCUGUUCGAGCGUCAUUUGUACCCUCAAGCUUUGCUUGGUGUUGGGCGUCUUGUCUCCAGUUCGCUGGAGACUCGCCUUAAAGUCAUUGGCAGCCGGCCUACUGGUUUCGGAGCGCAGCACAAGUCGCGCUCUCUUCCAGCCAAGGUCAGCGUCCAGUAAGCCUUUUUUUUUCAACUUUUGACCUCGGAUCAGGUAGGGAUACCCGCUGAACUUAA
This 306-nucleotide unclassified non-coding RNA is filed under the name uncultured Pleosporales. RNAcentral describes it as "sequence contains ITS1". The stretch from base 1 to 105 matches the Rfam family "5.8S ribosomal RNA", at positions 50 to 154 of the family's 154-position model. The record is from RNAcentral. Lineage: Eukaryota; Fungi; Ascomycota; Dothideomycetes; Pleosporales.